GUAAAUAUAGUUUAAACAAAACACUAGAUUGUGAAUCUAGCAAUAGAGGUUAAUACCCUCUUAUUUACC
Molecule: transfer RNA, 69 nt
Filed under: Ochotona gaoligongensis (Gaoligong pika)
Lineage: Eukaryota; Metazoa; Chordata; Mammalia; Lagomorpha; Ochotonidae
Description: tRNA-His
Rfam family: tRNA
About the family: Transfer RNA (tRNA) molecules are approximately 80 nucleotides in length. Their secondary structure includes four short double-helical elements and three loops (D, anti-codon, and T loops).
Source: RNAcentral